RNAcentral lists this ribosomal RNA (582 nucleotides) under uncultured bacterium. Its description in RNAcentral is "partial 16S ribosomal RNA". It matches the Rfam family "Bacterial small subunit ribosomal RNA", at positions 355 to 935 of the family's 1533-position model. The record is from RNAcentral.
UGGGGAAUUUUGGACAAUGGGGGAAACCCUGAUCCAGCCAUCCCGCGUGUGCGAUGAAGGCCUUCGGGUUGUAAAGCACUUUGGCAGGAAAGAAACGUCGCGGGUUAAUACCCCGCGAAACUGACGGUACCUGCAGAAUAAGCACCGGCUAACUACGUGCCAGCAGCCGCGGUAAUACGUAGGGUGCAAGCGUUAAUCGGAAUUACUGGGCGUAAAGCGUGCGCAGGCGGUUCGGAAAGAAAGAUGUGAAAUCCCAGAGCUUAACUUUGGAACUGCAUUUUUAACUACCGGGCUAGAGUGUGUCAGAGGGAGGUGGAAUUCCGCGUGUAGCAGUGAAAUGCGUAGAUAUGCGGAGGAACACCGAUGGCGAAGGCAGCCUCCUGGGAUAACACUGACGCUCAUGCACGAAAGCGUGGGGAGCAAACAGGAUUAGAUACCCUGGUAGUCCACGCCCUAAACGAUGUCAACUAGCUGUUGGGGCCUUCGGGCCUUGGUAGCGCAGCUAACGCGUGAAGUUGACCGCCUGGGGAGUACGGUCGCAAGAUUAAAACUUAAAUGAAUUGACGGGGGUCAUAGCUGUUU